GCUUUUAAGUUUAAUGGUUGCAAUUCCAUUUAGAAAAAAAUUCAAUUGAGAGAAUCUAAAUCCAAAUUUAUCAAACAACUAAUGAGAAAUCAUAUGUUUACGGUUAGAAGGAUGAUGAUGGCUUAUUGAAGAAAAUAGAUGAUGAACAGUAGUAAAGGGGGAAAAAUCAAAGAGUCGUAGAGUGGCUGUUGAACAUAAGUAAAUGAACUACUGCAAUUUUCGAUUGAAGAAGAAGAUAUAGUGGUAGAUGUGUUGUAGGGUAGACAAGUAGCGCAAUAAACAAUUAGUUGCAUAACAACUAAUUGAUUAUCUCAUAACUACUGUAACUUUAUUAACAGUUUGUUUGUUAUAGGUGUUAACCAUAGUUAGGUAGUUAAUCAUAGUUUAGUUCGAGAGUUGAGUUUCUCUCUUGAUUUAUGCGAUAAACAACUCAUUGUAAACUCGGAUUUUGUGAACGAAUUCUUCUCUUUCAAUUCAGUUACGAUUGGUUCAUAGUAGCUUUCUAUGUUAGUUUUCUUGUAUAUGGAGAAUCAACUCAACCAUUUGAAAUGGAUUCAAUCGCAUUUGGAUUUGAUAUCUCCUUCAUUUCUAUGAACAGUCAUCUUGUUUCCAACGUUUCUUGUUCAACACUAUGAACCCUCCGCACUAUUGCAAAUGUUUAUUCAUUUCUUGUUCAGCAAGAAAGACAACUUAUUCUGCCUUUAGUUGAGUCUAAUAUACUAACUGCUUUAGGAAGUGGUUUUUCUUACAUUCAACUUUCUGGUAGAGGUCAAUCAUCGCGUGGAAAAACUGAUGGUAGAGCGGGGUAGAGGCCGCCUUAGGCUUUGUUCACAUUGUGGCAAAACUGGACACAUAGAUAGGUGUUGGAAGAAACAUGGUGUUUUCCCUCAUUUUCAGCAAACUGGCAUGAUAUCUCGUAAAACAAAAUUAUAAAUUAGAUAAUGAGAUUUAUAAAAUACUAUCAUUCUAAAGAAACCAAUUAAUGUAAAUAACAUUUUUCUUAUUUAAUUUUAGAAACCACUACUUUAGUCAAGCAAUUCCAGCAUAAUAAUUUAUAUACUUUCAACUCACUUCUUUAUCCAAACUUUACAGAUUGCAAACUUUUCAAACUUUACAGCAUAAUAAUUUUAGAAACUCAUUUAUGAACUCUGCAAAUUGCAAACUUUAGAAUGAAUACGAAAGUUACCACCAAUGUGUGUAUCAUGUUUAUUGUUUUUGUCAUUAAGAUUAUAAUUUCUUUUCCUAAAAAAACAUAGGUUUACACUAAAUACGGCUUUGAUGUCCAAAGGCUUCUUCACAAAAAAAAAAACAUAGUCUUCUUCACAAUACAGCUUCGAUGUCUUCCACUUACGGACCUGAGAUAUCUCAAAAACUAAAUACGAAUAGGUUUUUGUUAAAUCAAGUAAAAAAACAAGAAAUAGAGUUUCCGAUGAUAGAAAUGAAAGGCUUUGAAGAAAAAAAAGAGGAUUACAUUAAUCUCAUCUACUCCCUUAUACACACGUAAUAGCCAACUAAACAAAUGUGUCCAAAUUUCACAUUAAUCAUAAAAAUGUUGUAUCAUCAAUCACAUUUAAACUUAUCUUACUUCAUUUCAGUAUGACUUGAUCAGAAGAUAGAAAAGACGGGGAUAACUACUUUCCCACAUUCGACACCGUUGAUAUGACCUAAUCAGAAGAACAAUGUUUGAAGGAUGUACUUGCAAGCAUUUCGAUCUUAUGUCAAUAUUUGAACUUGAAUGUGAAUUAAAGAUAGAACAAAUGACUAAACAAGUUCUCUUAUGUAACCAUAUAAAACGAGGGAAUAAAAAUUAUUAGAAUGAGGGAUUGUAUCUUUUAAAAAAUACAUGUAUUUAUUGAUGGAUUAAUAUCUCUUAUUUCUAAAUGUUAACCUGUGACGCAAUAUUAACACUAGAUUUAACCUAAUUUUUUUGCGUGACUUUACUAUAUUAACCCUAGAUUUAAUUUAUGCAAAAUGUCAUCUCUUCUCUUGUUUCUAAAUGUUAACCCGUGAUGCAAUAUUAACCCUAGAUUUAACCUAAUUUUUUCGCGUGACUUUACUAUAUUAACCUUAGAUUUAAUUUGUGCAAAAUGUCAUCUCUUAUUUCUAAAUGUUAACCUGUGACGCAGUAUUAACCCUAGAUUUAACCUAAUUUUUUCGUGUGGCUUUACUAUAUUAACCCUAGACUAGAACGCCGACCCGUGCACCGCACGGGUCAUGUCGACUAAAACAACUUGCAAAGUGAUAUACCAUAUAUAAAUAAAGGGAAGUGCUAUAUAGCACGACACCUCAACCACACAAGAUUCCAUGACAUGCAUGUUAAAGGCAUGGCAAAAAAAGCGGAAGAUAUACUAAGUAAAAAUAAAAAAAGGAAAACAUGUUCAUGGGGUUAUCUAACGGCUUCAAAUAGUCGUGUGUGUGUCGCGCUUCUGGCCAUCGUGCCAAGAAGCAUUUUCCAUAAAUAAAUGUGAUUGUUAGAUUACUGUGCAUAAGUACUCUUGUCAGCCCUAUUAUAUUUAAUUUUAAAGUUAACAAUAAGCCAAGCUCCUUAAAAAAAAUAAAAAAUAAAAAAUAAGCCAAGCACCUGGCCGCCACUCUAUAGUCUAAGGGAGUGGAUCCUCUCCGAUGGAGAUCCCUCCGGUUUUCUAUAGCGCCCUACUAUCCACCUUUAAUUAUAUUCUCUCUUAUUUUUUGAUAUUACAAACACAUUAUCUCACGCACCUAUUUAAUGGAGUACUUGGAUUAUACAUGAGAGAAAACCAUAUAAGACAAUCUCCCCAUGGAAUCUAAAGCAUGCAAAUAUGAUAAGUCAAUAUGGCGUGAAAUAAACUGCCAUGGUUUUUUUUUAUUUUAAAUCACAUAUUUUCCUAUACAUUUAGAUGGUUACUCCAUUGUUGAAGAAAUAUUGCUCUAUAUACUACUUAUAGGAAUAUAUCUAUCGAGAUGUUUUUUUACAGGGAAAGCAGAUUGAUCAAAUAUAUUCAUUGAUAUUAUAAUUUUUUUUUGACAAAGAGAGGUCAUUGAUAUUAUAUAUUAUAAUUGUUGUAGUGUAUGUUAGUGAAUAGAACUAAUAUAUUACUCCCUCCGUCCCUAAUUAUAAUAUUCUUUUGAGAAUAUUUGUUGUCCCUUUUUAUAAGACCCCUUUGUUAUUUCCAACUACAUUAAUUAUUUCUUUGCAAUAAGUAGCAUAUGGAAAACAUAAACUAACUCUCUCUCUUAAGGAUAAAAUUGUAAAAACAAUAGUGAUUACAAACAACUUUAAUAUAAAUAUUCACUUUCUUAAUUCCCGUGAUUUUAACAAAAGGGUCUUAUAAUUAGGGACGGAGGGAGUAUAAGUUAAUGAAAAUAUACUUUUCAUUAGCAUUUAUAAACUCAAAAAAAUAAUUAAAUAUGAUAACUUUAACAAUAGAUAUUCAUUGUAGACAUAGUCAUCUAUUUAAAGAUGAGUUAACACUCAAAAGCAAAAACAAACAAAGAAUGCAAUGCUUACAUGAUAGUUCAUAGUCAACGUUGAAUAAAUUUUAGAAAAAUUGCAUAAAACUGAUGAAAAUAAAUAUGACACUACAUAUUAAUUUGAUUGCUAAAAAAGCAAUGAAAUGUAAUGUAAAGAAGUCCAUUGUAGCCCAAAGCACUUGAUCCAAUCUUCAUCAUUUUCCCGUUCUACAGCUUUCUUGCACUACAUAAUAAGCUUUUCCAACAUCCUCCAAAUUUGGUAGUCUUGUUCUCAAGAUUAAACUCCAAAAGCAUACUCCUAAAAUGACCUGAAUCAUCGCUUAAAUCUAAAUCUUUUCAACCCUUGUGGAUGAUAUCAGCAGUUAAUCCGUCAUACGUGAAGGUAUAAUUAAAAAAAAAAUCAAUUAUAUUAUAAGUUCCAUUUCAUUACUUACCAACAAUCCAGAUCUAAUAUCAGAUGAAUUCAACCAUUUGACGAUGAAAUACUAAAAAUUUGUGGGGUCAUGGUGGUAAGCAAUUGGUGCAAUAUACCAGCAAAUUCAAGUUCACUGUCAUGACCAUUAAUUGAAUGCUCUAGCCUUAGUAACAAUAAAGGAACAUAUAGGGGAUAUUUGAUCCCAACAUCACGAUGGUCCUUAUUAACAAUAAUCACAAAAAGUCUUCGCAAACACAUACGAAUGUAAUCCGCAUCGAAUUUCAUAUUAUAAGCGUUGUUAAGUUCAUUCACACCAUGAGUUACGUUAAACAUAAUUUGUCAACAACGACCUCAAAUUGAUUGAGUGCAAGAUUGUGAGAACAGCCAACACAGCUCCUUCAGUUAUGCCUUGAUCUGCGCGUCUGCUGUCUACAUUUUCAACACUGCAUUAAUCUUAAUUAACAAACUUGUCUACAAUUCAAAUAUGUUUUUGCAACUCUUCCAGCUAGCAUAUAAGAUCAAACAUCAAAAUUGUCAUUAAUCUAAAUUCAAUGAGAUUAUUGCACAAUUGUAUAUUUAUAUGCUUGUACAACAUUUCAGAUUUGAUAUAUAGAAAACAAUUAUUCUUUAUAAGGAUCAAUCAACAUUAUAUACCGAUAUAACUCAUAACCAAUUUCCUUAGUUAGCAUGGGUACUAAGUAAAAAGCAUUAUAUGAGACAACUUAGCAUAUUACAUUGUAAAAUGAAUUUAUUUACAAAAACUAAUGGCAUAAAACAGCAACAGAAUUUCCUACAAAGGGGCAUAAAAAAUUCAACUCCUCAAUACCUUAUUAACAUCAUUCCAAUCACAGCAAGUUUUGAUUAAAAUACUCAUCAACAGCCUAAUUCUCAGAUUCAGAUUUUCUCCCUAAAAAUACGAAAAAUCCUGAAAAGGAAUAGAAAAUGUGAACAAAAUUUGAAAUCAAAAUCCCUAAUAUACUUUAAAUACCUUAUCAUCAUCAAAAUCCUCCGUGUGCGGUCGAUCCCAACUCACAUAGCAUAACACCCAGAUCACAAAAAGAAAGCAAGAAAUUUGGUAGAGAAGAAAAAAAAACAAAUGAAAAAAAACUGAAAACCAUGUAAUCAAAUUAAAGCUUAGGUUCAUACAUGCCAUGGAUGUUGUUGAUGGUGGUGUUGUUAAUGGGGUGAGAGACAUUUAAGACCGGAGCAUGUAGUGAAUUUAAAGAAAGAAGAUUCGAACUCAUUAGUGAAAGGUUGCAAGCAAAUACAAUUAGUAGAAGCAAGGGAACAAAGAGAUCAGUGUUCUAUUGGUCAAGGCGUCAGGCUACAUUGAAUAACACAUAAAUGGAUUAGAACAAAUAUGCUAGCACAUCUAUUCAUUGGAAAGCUCUCUUUUGUACAUACAACCAUGUGUUGCACGACUUUUGACAUUUUUUGUGCUUUGGUGUAUGUAGCACAAUUUUUUGGAAACAAAUUAGAAUAAAGAAUGGCUUUUUCGAUGCAGGAAAGCUCUCUUGUGCUUUGGUGUAUAUUAAAUGCCAUCAUCCAUAUGCCUUAGAUACAUGCAUCCACAAACUCUAAUUGUUAUGGGAGCGAAAUUUAGAAUUUGAACCUAAAGUGAUGAUUAGGAAAAGCACUAAGGUGAAUUUAAUGCUUGGAUGAUGGAGGGAAAAUAUUAGGUUAAAAUUAGGGUAUGAUAUUGCUUGACCAAACAAGCUUUAGUAAGAAAGAUUUAAUUUAUGCAAAAUGUCAUCUCUAAUUUUAACCUAAUUUUUCCCUCCACAAUUUUGCAUUUAAUGUUUAUCUAAAGUAAAAUAAAAUUAUGUUCCUAAUUAUAAGCUGUUUUUUUGGAAAGGAAUAACCGUUAACCCGUCUCGCUAUACUUAACCUAAUCUCUUACUUAUAAAUGUUAACUCGUCUCGCUAUACUUAACUUAUUAUGUUACAUUACUUAUAAAUGUUAAUCCGUCUCGCUAUACUUAACCUAAUUUUUUCCUCACAUUUUUGCAUUUAAUGUUUAUCUAAAGUAAAAUAAAAUUAUGUUCCUAAUUAUGUGUUAUUUUUUUGAAAAUCUCUUACUUAUAAAUGUUAACCCGUCUCGCUAUACUUAACUUAAUUUUAACCUAAUUUUUUCAUCCACACUUUUGCAUUUAAUGUCUAUCUAAAGUAAAAUAAAAUUAUGUUCCUAAUUAUAAGAUGUUUUUUUGGAAAGGAAUAACCGUUAACCCGUCUCGCUAUACUUACUUAAUCUCUUACUUAUAAAUGUUAACCCGUCUUGCUAUACUUAACCUAUUAUGUUACAUUACGGUAUCAAGGACGAUGUCAUGGAAAAUUAUGUUAUGGUUCAGUACCAACGUCUAUGCUUCUUAAUAUUAUGAAAUACUAUAUGACAUUCAUCUAAACUAUUUUGUUACCUAUUACCGUCAAAUAUUACAUUGUCGAUGGUCUAGUAAAUCUAUAAUAGAAACAAGGUCAUUCAAAAAAUUCAUUUCUUAAUUUGAGUUAACUCUUCUUAAACCACGGUUAAAGAGAAACGGAUUGAAUAGAAAAAAUUAAUUUCUUAAUUUGAGUUAGCCAAGUAAUUUUAAAAGUAAGAAAAUCUAAUUUAAUCUUUUAAGCAAAGAGGCAAACGACGCCUCUUAAUUUUACGGUCCAAUCAACACAUUUGCUUAAUCACAUAAUGUACCACAUCAUAAUUCUAUAAGACUAAAACCUUUUAUCCACUUGAUUUAAUUUCCAACACAAUAGUCUCAUUUGUCUUCCCAUAAAUAGAUGUCUCGCUCAUUCCAUUUGUGUAAAUUAAAAUUCAAUCCAAACAUGGCCUCUACAUACUCAAUAGUAUUACUUCUACUUGGAAUGAUGAUGGUUACCACUUUCGUGGGUGCUGGAAGGUUUAAUAUGUUUGGAUAUCCAGAUUAUUACCCUGUAGAUUUAGAAGAUGAUUGGUUUGAAGUAUUGUCUGACCCAUCUGAUAUUAUAGUGGGUGGAAAGCCUAAAAGUCUUGCACGUCCGCCGCCUAUAUUCGAUCCAGAAGAUGAUUUGUCAGAUAUGGAUUCUCUUCAUUGAAAAUUUUCUCCAACUUUCUCCAUUGUCAAUCUCUAUCAAUAAAAUACAACAACUACUUUUUUUUCUUAAUUUAAUUCUCAUUUUCUCUUUUAAGUUUAAUGGUUGCGAUUCCAUUUGAAAAAAAAAAUUCAAUUGAGAGAAUCUAAAUCCAAAUUUAUCACAACUAAUGAGAAAUCAUCUGUUUACGAGACGACGACAUCUGCUUGACUCAGUCUACCUUACAAAAAAAAUUACUAUUGAUAGACACUUUUUUUUUUUAUCAAAUCCCCAAUAUACACCUCCAUAGGGUGUUAGGGACAUUUUUGUAAUUUUCAUUAGCAUUACAUGUGAACAAAGUGGCAAAAUUAUGUCUACUAAAAUUAUAAGAACAGUUGUUUGUUAUAUGAGUUGUUUGUUAUUGACUCUAUUUUCAGCUACAAUGGUGCCAAUUACAACUUUCUUAUUUUUUAUAAAUUAAUCAAUCAUAUUGUUUUACAGCUUUUAAUUUUGAUUUUAGUCUUCGGUGUUAGUUCAACCGACACUUGACUAAUGAAAGUCCACUUGAUAGUGCCACAUGGACCAUUUUAAUGAUAUGAACGCCAUACAGAGGCGGAUCCACCUUUAAGUAUGGUGUGGCAGCUUUCACAUCAGAUUAUUAUCUAUUUUUUAAUUGGUAUAUAUAUAUCUAUUAUAGUUUAGAGAUAUAUAAUAAAUAUUAUGUGGCGCCACUUUAAUAGGUAUAUCUAGCAGUGAAUUUGUGAUGCCUUGCUCUUCAUAUGUCCAACUUUUUUAGAAAUAAAGCACAAAUUCUCUUUAUAUAAAAAAAAAAAAAAAAAACUUCUUUUAUCAAAUAAAUACAAUCCUUUUCUUGACCAAAAAAAAUAAAUAAAUACAAUCCUUUUCUUUUUAUUUAAUUUUUUGGUGGAAUCUUUCUUUUUAUUUAAAAUACCCUUAAAUAAUAUUAUAUUUUUUAAUAAACUGAAAUAUAAUUUAUUCUUUUUAUUAUACUUGAUUAUAAAUAUACAUUUUUUUUAUGUGAUGAAUUAUUUAUAAAGUGUUUUUUAUUAUUGAUGAUUUUAAGUUAUUUGGAGUGCGUAGAGAAUUAAUUUAAGACUUUUAGUUCAAUUUUUUUGAUAAUUAACGUCAUGUUUAUUACAAGUUAAAUUUUGUGUUUCUAUCUUAUAGUUUUUAGUUUAUUUUAGUGAUCCACGUAAAAAAACAAAAAAAAUCAUGACUCUGUCACCCUUUUAUGUCAAGAUACUAAUAACAUUUGACAUGUUUAUGGCUUUGUUCCCUUCAUGAUUUGAAAUGAAUUUUUGUUAUUGCAUUGUACUUGCAUUUGGGAUCUUUCUAAUUAUGUUUGUUCAUAAUUUUUGAUUUCACUAAUUAUGACGGAAGAACUUAUUUCUUUAAUUGUAUUGUGUUUGUUGUUUCGUCUAUAGACAAUUCUUAUUGUAAAUGUAUUGAAUCAAAAAUGUUAUUUAUUAUUUUUUGUAUAAUUUAAUUCAUAAAUUCUUUCAUAUUUUUGCCACACCAGAAUACAAUGUCUGGAUCCGCCCCUAAAGCCAUAACGACAUUUCCAAAUCAUAUCUCAUGUUUUCACUUCCCUUUUAAAGCUCUUAUAAAAUACCCAAACACUCGUUAAAUUUUCAUUCCUUUAUAUAUAAACUAACAACAAACUUACAAAGAAAGAAAAAACUUCUGACCCAUAACUAAUAGUACCCCACCAACUAUUCGAUCUGCGGACCUUGCAUAUAUUAUUGCUAGAAGUUUGGCAAGUGUACCAAAUACUAUCGAAGUAGUAAAAAUAUCGUUCCCACAAUGACUGAUUUUAAUCUCAAUAAUUCAAUUACGUUGUAAGUUAGGAUGUAUAAAAGUUCUUUUGAUUUGCCACUAGGCAGUUGAUUGGUUUGUUUGCAUAAAAGUAAUGACAGAAAAUAAAGAAUGGUUUUAAGAAUAAGAGAGAGAUGAGUUUAAGUCUUUCGAAUCAUCUAUGUUCCCCUAAUUGGUAUACUGCACCUAUUCUUCUGAAUGAGUCACUAGUUCAACGAUAGUUAACAAAAUAGUCCUAAUCAAUCCCUUGAGUUAGGACCCCCUUCUAGGGUUAUAGACCCUAAUUUCUUAGGUGGUCUAAUAAUCGCUGAAGGUUUAAGCACGUUAACCUAAUAUCACUAAUAAAGGAUUAUCCAUUCCUAGACUAACCAUGUUUAUUAGAACAACUCAAUUAGGUCUAAGUCGAAAGCUAGGGUCAGUAGCCAUUCGUUCUCACUAAAUCAUGUUUAUAUUUGAUCAGGAUAUAAAAAGCAUUAAGAACAAUUGAAUUGAAUAAAAAUUAGAUUAUCAUUCACAAUAAAUAGAGUUUCACAGCAACUUGUUUCAAUUAGGGUUACAAAGAAUCAUCUCAGACCUAACCUCUAAUGGAUUUAGCUACUCAUAAUGGUGUUUACAAAUAACAUAAUCAUUAGAGGAAUCAAUACAUACAUGAACUGGUAAAAGAGUGAAGAAAUCGCCCUUCUAGCCGUCUUGUAGUUUCAAAAUCGCAAUUUCCUCUCUCCAAAUCGUAACCCUUGUUUUCAGAAUAGUCUUCAGCAUAAAUAGACAACAACUACUCCUAAAAUUGUGGCACGAUUUAAGUAAAUCGUGACACGUUUCUGAUUGUGUAACAAACCACCUAAAUUAGGGUUCACGUUUUUGCCAUCGUGACACGUUUUCACCAAUGUCGAAUGCAAGUUUCUUGAAAACUCCAAAUCGUGACACGUUUUUCAGUAAUUGUGACACGUUUUUUAGUUAUCGUGACAUGAUUCCCUUUCUUCAAUUUCUUUGAUUUUUCUUGCUUUUCUUGCUGCUUAAGCUUGCUUGUGAACUCAAAAAUAUCAUAAAAACACUCUAAAAAUAGUGAAUGACUGACUGUCAUCAAUUAUGCAUUGUCCUUACCAUCUGUUAAACUUAUAUUAGUUGGCUAUUAUGUGUGUAUAAGGGAGUGGAUGAGAUUAAUGUAAUCCUUUGUUUUUCUUCAAAGCCUUUCAUUUCUAUUAUCGAAUAUUGUAUUUUUUUUAUUUGAUCAUCCUAUAUCUAACAAAAAGCUAUUCAUAUUUAGCCUAUGAGAUAUCUCAGGUCUAUAAGUGAAAGACAUCAGAGCUGCAUGAAGAUGACAUCAUAUUGAUUGGAUUUUGAUGAAUGGUUAUCAAUUCUCACUUUCUUGAUCUCUGGAGGGCGUUUUACAUUUUUUAGGAUCUCAAUGACAAUAACAAUAAACAGGAUACACACACUGGAAACUUUUAUAUUCUUUCUAAAGUUUGUAAUGGCUUAAGAAGUGAGUUGAAAGUAUAUAAAUUAUUAUGCUGAAAUUGCUUGACUAAAGUAGUGGUUUCUAAAAUUAAAUAGGGAAAAUGUUAUUUAUAUUCUUUUUCUGAUUCUUGAUUCAUGAAUUCUCAUUUAUUCGUGUUCUUUCAUCUAUCCUUGCUUUUAUCUCUGAUUGAGAUCAUAUUUUGCUUUUUGACUUUUUUCCUUCUACCUUUCUUCCUACUCACGUAACUGUUUUCUGUUAUAUUCACCAUCAUUUCCGAGAGUUCUCCAAAGAGUGUUAAUGGUGGAUUCACAAACACCAAGAACAAGGGUUAUCAUAAUGAUAUUCUUAGUCCAUAUUUCAUGCAUCAAACGACAACCCAGGUCUGGUUCUCGUUACUCCUCUUUUUUCUAGUAACACUAUCAUUCUUCGUCAAGAUCCAUGAAUGUUAUUUUAAGAUCAAAGCACAAAUAACAUUUCAUCAAUGGUUCUUUACCACGACCUCCAUAUGAGGAUUAUGACUCUCUUUCCUUACACAUAUGAAACACCAUGGUCAUGUCAUGGUUAAGAAAAUUCAAUUGAAACUGAGAUUUCACAAAGUAUUUUGUGGAUGAACACUGCUUCUGAAAUCUUGAAGGAUCUCAACGAUAGAUUUUAUCAAGUUUGAUAUCUUCAAAAUUUCUGAUAUUCAAGAAGAAAUCUAUACUCUGAAGCAAGAUUAUUAUUCUAUUUCUUUUUAUUACACGAAGAUGAAGAAAUUAUAGCAGGAAAUAGAUAAUUCCAGGCCUAUUCCACGUAAUAAUUAUGUUGAAAAUUGUCAUGUUCUUACCAAGAUGCAUGAGUAUAAAGAAUGUGAUCAAAGAACAAUAUUCUCCUGUAAGAGCCCAGAUCAUGCUUAUGGAUCACCUCCCCACAAUUGUAAAGGUCUAUUCAUUUCCUGUUCAUUAGAUAAGUCUAAGAUACUGAGAUUUAUAGAAUGCUAACAUUUUCCUUAUUUAAUUUUAGAAACCACUUCUUAGUCAAGCAAUUCCAGCAUAAUAAUUUAAAUACUUUCAACUCAAUUCCAAACUAAUAAUAACAAAAUUUUCCAUUAUAUUUGUUCUUCCAUGACAACAUUGCUUGGUUAUUCCUCUCCAACAAGACGGUAUUAGUUUUUCCUCUCUAGAUUUUCUCGUCCAGUUUCUUCAAUGAGGGGGUGGUUUUAGGUUAAUUUUUGACCUAAAAUACCACUCUUCAUCUUUUUCUUUCUAUUUCAAUCUAAAUAAGCAAUUUUCACAUAUAUAUCUAGGUUUUUUUCUUCAUGAUUUCGACAUCUAAGUGUGAUGGUGUGUUGGUUAAUUUGUCGUCUUGUGAGACGUUGUUUGAUUUCCCGUCUUGUUGCGGUGUUCAGUUGUUUUAUUUUGAAAGAUCGAUUUUCAAUCAAAGAUUUGGGCGUCAACGUUGCAUAUCCGGAGACAUGUGAGUAUUCCGGUCACUUUAGUUUUAUCAUAUAUUUUUGUAGGCAUUAUGUCGUUAUACGCUAUUAACUUUGAUGUUAUUAGUUUGUUCGCAGAUUCAUCAUUUACAUUUGUAGCGAUGUUAAAUGAUGUACUAUAUCGAUUUGAAUGAAUAAAUAUCAUUUUGUUUUUGUAAAAAAAAAGAAAAAAAAAAGACUUAUUUAGCCAUUAUGAACUCUACAGAUUGCAAAACUUUAGAAUGAAUACAAAAGUUGCCACGAAUGUGUGUAUCAUGUUUAUUGUUUUUUUUUUUUUAGGGAAUAUUUAUUGUUAUUGUCAGCAACAUUAUAAUUUCUUGGACUGAUUGAAAUUGAGAUUCUAAAAAUUGUAAAACGCCCUUCAGAGAUCAGUAAAGAGAGAAUUAAUGAUCACCAUUCAUCAAAAUUCAAUCAAAUAAAAAAACAAGAAUAGAGUUUCCGAUAAUAGAAAUGAAAGGCUUUGAAGAAAAAAAGGGAUAUGACUUAUCAGAAGAUAGAAAAGAUGGGGAUAUAACUAGUUUCCCACAUUCGACACCGUUGAUAUGACCUAAUUACAAGAACAGUGUUUGGAAGAUGUAUUUGCAAGCAUUUUGACGUUCAAGUCGGCAUUUGAAAUAGAAUGUGGGUUAAAGAUAGAACAAAUCAUACCUUGAAUAACUAAAAAAGUUCGCAUAUAUAUAACCAUAUAAUAUGAGGAAAUCAAAUUUAUUAGAACGAGGGGUUGUAUGUUUAAAAAAUACAGGUAUUUAUUGAUGCAUUAAAAAUAUAAGUUUAUAAUUGAAAAAACCAUUAAAAAAAUUCAUUUCUUAAUUUGAGUUUACUCUUCUUAAACCACGGUUAAAGAGAAACGGAUUGAAUAGAAAAAAAAAACAAGAUAAAAUCUAAAUUGUCAUUUAUUUUAUUUUUUAAAAAAUGGCUAGACAAAAUUAGAGUACCACAUGAGUGUAAUUGCAGCAUUUCUUAGAAAAAAGGAGUGUAAUUUACUUAAUUUAUUAAUGGUUUAAAAUAAACGUAUAAUAAAAAAAUCAUUCAAACUGAUGGAAUAGAGAAAACGUUGCUGCACUUAUAUUAUUCAUACUAGCAAAGUAAUUUAAUAAGUAAGAAAACCUAAUUAAAUCUUUUAGGCAAAGAGGCAAACGAUGUAAUAACCUUUGCUUAAUCACAAAAUGUACCACAUCAGGCUUCUAUAAGACUAUAAUAACCUUUUAUCCACUUGAUUUAAUUUCCAACAUAAUAGUCUCAUGUGUUUUCCUAUAAAUAGCUUUCUCGCUCAUUCUAUUUAUUUAAAUUAAAAUUCGAUCCAAACAUGGCCUCUACAUAUUCAAUAGUAUUACUUCUACUUGAAAUGAUGAUGGUUACCACUUUCGUGGGUGCUGGAAAGUCUAAUAUGUUUGGAUAUCCAGAUCAAUACCCAGUAGAUCCAGAAGACGAUUGGAUUGACUUAUUAUAUGACCCAGCUGAAAUGAAAGCACGUCUGCUGCCUAUAUAUGAUCCAGAAGAAGAUUUGUCGGAUUUCGAUUCUCUUCAUUGAAAUUUUUCCCCAAUUUUCUCCAUUGUCAAUCUCUAUCAUUAAAUUACAACAAGCACUUUUUUUUUUAAUUAAAUUUCUAGGUUCUCUAUAAGUAUAGUGGUUGCAAUUCCAUUUAAAAAAAAAAAUCAAUUGAAAUAAUCUAAAUCCAAAUUUAUCAGUGUUACGGACAUUUUAGUAAUUUUCAUUAGUAUUACAUGCGAACAAUGUGGCAAAAUUAUGUCUACUAAAAUUAUAAGAACGGUUGUUUGUUAUAUCACUUGUUUGUUAUUGACUCUAUUUUCAGCUACAAUGGAGCCAAUUACAACUUUCUUAUUUUUUACAAAUUAAUAAAUCAUAUUGUUUUACAACUUAUAAUUUUGAUUUUAGUCCUCGGUGUUGGUUCAACCGACACUUAACUAAGCGAAGUCCAUGUGACAGUGCCACAUGGACCAUUUUAAUGACCUGGACGCCACAACAACAUUGCCAAAUCAUAUCUUAUGUUUUCACUUGGCUUUUAAAGCUCUUAAAAUACGCAGACACUCGUUAAAAUUUGUCUUCCUUUAUCAACUAACAACAAACCUAGAAAGAAAGAAAAAACUUCUGACCCAUAACUAAUAGUACCCAACCAACUCUUCGAGCUCUUUAUCCAAGAUUUUGGUGUGAGCUUGUUUCACUUUGAGGAUGAUAAUUCGAACACAAUUAGUGCAGAAUUAACCCUUUAAUUUUAAACUAAAGAUUGAAUUCAAUAUUUUUUAUGGUGUUUGGGGUUUGAACCCCGGACCUUGCAUAUAUUAUGCAUUGUCUUACCGACUGAGUUAAACUCACGAGGACAAAGAUUGAAUUCAAUCUUGAUGUAAGGGAAACUGGUUGAAUGAUCAAAUAUUAGUAAUUCAUUUAAAAGAGAGGAAUUUUGUGAAUAUUUAAGGUUAGAAGGAUGAUGGUGGCUUAUUGAAGAAAAUAGACGAUGAACAGUAGUAAAGGGGGAAAAUCAAAGAGUCGUAGAGUGGCUGUUGAACAUAAGUAAAUGAACUACUGCAAUUUUCGAUUGAAGAAGAAGAUAUAGUGGUAGAUGUGUUGUAGGGUAGACAAGUAGCGCAAUAAACAAUUAGUUGCAUAAAAACUAAUUGAUUAUCUUAUAACUACUGUAACUUUUUAAUAGUUAUCUUGUUAUAACUGUUAACCAUAGUUAGGUAGUUAAUCAUAGUUUAGUUAGACAGUUGAGUUUCUCUUUAUAUAUAUCCGCAGUAAAAAACUCAUUGUAAACUCAGAUUUUGUGAAUGAAUUCCUCUC
This 14469-nucleotide long non-coding RNA is filed under the name Medicago truncatula (barrel medic). Its description in RNAcentral is "long non-coding RNA (MTRU_LNC005113)". The record is from RNAcentral. Lineage: Eukaryota; Viridiplantae; Streptophyta; Magnoliopsida; Fabales; Fabaceae.